This 163-nucleotide ribosomal RNA is filed under the name Genista cf. monspessulana AK-2011. RNAcentral's name for it is "5.8S ribosomal RNA". It matches the Rfam family "5.8S ribosomal RNA". From Rfam's summary of the family: 5.8S ribosomal RNA (5.8S rRNA) is a component of the large subunit of the eukaryotic ribosome. It is transcribed by RNA polymerase I as part of the 45S precursor that also contains 18S and 28S rRNA. The record is from RNAcentral. Lineage: Eukaryota; Viridiplantae; Streptophyta; Magnoliopsida; Fabales; Fabaceae.
AAGACUCUCGGCAACGGCCAUCUCGGCUCUUGCAUCGAUGAAGAACGUAGCGAAAUGCGAUACUUGGUGUGAAUUGCAGAAUCCCGUGAACCAUCGAGUCUUUGAACGCAAGUUGCGCCCGAAGCCAUUAGGCUGAGGGCACGCCUGCCUGGGUGUUGCACAU